RNAcentral lists this unclassified non-coding RNA (291 nucleotides) under Sagenomella sp. Its description in RNAcentral is "partial contains 5.8S ribosomal RNA, internal transcribed spacer 2, and large subunit ribosomal RNA". The stretch from base 1 to 71 matches the Rfam family "5.8S ribosomal RNA", at positions 84 to 154 of the family's 154-position model. The record is from RNAcentral. Lineage: Eukaryota; Fungi; Ascomycota; Eurotiomycetes; Eurotiales; Trichocomaceae.
GUGAGUCAUCGAAUCUUUGAACGCAUAUUGCGCCCUCUGGUAUUCUGGGGGGCAUGCCUGUCCGAGCGUCAUUGCUAUCCUCAAGCUUGGCUUGUGUGUUGGAUCCUGUCUUCAGUGGACUGAUCUGAAAAGCAGUGGUGUUACCGUGUCUGGUGCCUGAGCAUAUAGGGCUUUGUCACUCGCUCCGCACGGCCAUGGUAGCUCUUUGCCAUAUGUAAAAAGUUAUCUCUAAGUUGACCUCGGAUCAGGUAGGGAUACCCGCUGAACUUAAGCAUAUCAAUAAGCGGAGGA